GAAAACUUGAAUGUGAAAACUACAAUAUAUAAGGACCACUGUUCUCUCUCCACAGUUCCACACAAGAGCAACUUAAAUUGGUAAACUCUGAAAUAGUGAUUUUUGUCUUAUUAACCAUUCCAUGAAAUAGUAAGAAAGAAUGUUUUCAAGAAAAUAUGCUAAAAAUAUUUUGACAAUAUAUAAAAUGUAUUACUUAGCUUUAAUCACAAAAAUCAGACUUCCUCAAAAUAUAAAUUUCUUUUGCUUCUUUGUGUUCGUAUGUUAUUUCAUUUUAAAAACUUUUAGAAAUAUUUGAUUUGUAAGUAGAUAUACCACCUCCAAGUUGCUGUCCCAACAG
This 337-nucleotide long non-coding RNA is filed under the name Bos taurus (domestic cattle). Its description in RNAcentral is "long non-coding RNA NONBTAT006374". The record is from RNAcentral. Lineage: Eukaryota; Metazoa; Chordata; Mammalia; Artiodactyla; Bovidae.